RNAcentral lists this non-coding RNA (177 nucleotides) under Candidatus Ventrimonas merdavium. RNAcentral describes it as "6S RNA". It matches the Rfam family "6S / SsrS RNA". Rfam says of the family: E. coli 6S RNA was the first non coding RNA to be sequenced, but its function was unknown until recently. Lineage: Bacteria; Bacillati; Bacillota; Clostridia; Lachnospirales; Lachnospiraceae. The record is from RNAcentral.
GUAUUCCUGGGAUGUGCGAUAAUCUUACCCAUUUUGAACCUACAUUUGUGACAACGGGAUUCCAAUAUCUGGAUGUGGAUGUCAGGCCUCCUUUGAGUGGAAGGCAGAAGCAUACGUGAGGUUGCCCACCUAGCAUCGCUAGGCGUCAAUAAGUAAGACCGGCAUUCCGGGAUUACA